GUCUGCGGCUAUGACACCCUGAAUGUGCCUGAUCUCAAAAGCUAAGCAGGGUCAGACCUGGUUAGUACUUGGAUGGGAGACCAUGCAGGAAUACUGGGUGCUGUAGGUG
Molecule: ribosomal RNA, 109 nt
Filed under: Pteropus alecto (black flying fox)
Lineage: Eukaryota; Metazoa; Chordata; Mammalia; Chiroptera; Pteropodidae
Source: RNAcentral